ACGACCGUCAAGCCUGGCUUGGUGUUUGGACGUCGGUCGUUUUGAGACCGCGUCCCAAAGACAAUGGCGGUGUCGAUUCAGUCCUCGGUGCAACGAGCUCCACGAGCACGCACCGCACGGGCUAUCGGCGCCCGCCUGGACCCCUUAUUUUCUCA
RNAcentral lists this unclassified non-coding RNA (155 nucleotides) under uncultured fungus. Its description in RNAcentral is "sequence contains ITS2". The record is from RNAcentral. Lineage: Eukaryota; Fungi.